UUUUUUCAUUUUCUGUUCUUUUCUUUUUAUUUUCAGUUUACUCAACAUUUUGAGGAUUAAAUCAAGGAGCACAAUAAAGGAGAAUACAUUAAGGUGGAGAAAUCUUGGGGAAAUCAAGUUUAAGCUACAAAAAUGGGGUUUUAUCUAUAAACUUGUAUUUUCUCCAUUAUUUUGCCAUAUUUGUAAUGCAUUGCUAUAAACAUUCUCUUUUC
RNAcentral lists this long non-coding RNA (212 nucleotides) under Olea europaea (common olive). Its description in RNAcentral is "long non-coding RNA (OEUR_LNC003792)". The record is from RNAcentral. Lineage: Eukaryota; Viridiplantae; Streptophyta; Magnoliopsida; Lamiales; Oleaceae.